Molecule: long non-coding RNA, 500 nt
Filed under: Chinchilla lanigera (long-tailed chinchilla)
Lineage: Eukaryota; Metazoa; Chordata; Mammalia; Rodentia; Chinchillidae
Description: lncRNA (ENSCLAG00000022883.1)
Source: RNAcentral
UUUACAGAAUCAGUUCACAUGAUCUCAGAUGUCACCAGAAAUUGAAAGGAGGAACUGUACUGUAAGGUGGCUGGGGUAUUUCCACAGGACAGAGUCUCGCUUCGGCCCAUCGGGACCUACCACACUUGAACAUCCCAAAGCAGAGCAAGAGAAGAGUUGCCCUGUCAGCAUUUACAAUACAUCUAAAUACAUUCAGUAGAAACCAUAUGUCCAUGGUUUUAUCAACCCUAAAACUUCUUUCCCUUGUUUUCAUAUUUUUAUAAACUUUUAUAUCACUGAAUAUUCUUGGUGACUUUAUCUUCUGAACAAUUUGGAUACUCCUUGGAGAAAACAUGUUGCCUAAAAACUUCUUCAAAUAACCCUAGUUUUGUAUACUUAUGGAGAUCACCUGAUUAAAUAGAUUUAAAACACUAAAAGGUAAAUUUAAUGCACAUUUAGCCAUUUUUGUGGGAAAAAACUCAUUUGUAAUACUAGAUGUUGUUUUAAUAAAACAAUUAAAU